RNAcentral lists this ribosomal RNA (113 nucleotides) under uncultured bacterium. RNAcentral's name for it is "partial 16S ribosomal RNA". It matches the Rfam family "Bacterial small subunit ribosomal RNA", at positions 1369 to 1482 of the family's 1533-position model. The record is from RNAcentral.
CGGUUCCCGGCCUUGUACACACCGCCCGUCACACCACGAAAGUCGGCAACACCCGAAGCCAGUGGCCCAACCUUAGGAGGGAGCUGUCGAAGGUGGGGUUGGCGAUUGGGGUG